RNAcentral lists this ribosomal RNA (761 nucleotides) under uncultured bacterium. Its description in RNAcentral is "bacterial SSU rRNA". It matches the Rfam family "Bacterial small subunit ribosomal RNA", at positions 1 to 759 of the family's 1533-position model. The record is from RNAcentral.
CCCUUAGAGUUUGAUCCUGGCUCAGAUUGAACGCUGGCGGCAUGCCUUACACAUGCAAGUCGAACGGUAACAGGGAGCUUGCUCCGCUGACGAGUGGCGAACGGGUGAGUAAUACAUCGGAACGUGCCCAGUAAUGGGGGAUAGCUCGGCGAAAGCCGGAUUAAUACCGCAUACGCCCUGAGGGGGAAAGUGGGGGACCGCAAGGCCUCACGUUAUUGGAGCGGCCGAUGGCUGAUUAGCUAGUUGGUAGGGUAAAGGCCUACCAAGGCGACGAUCAGUAGCUGGUCUGAGAGGACGAUCAGCCACACUGGGACUGAGACACGGCCCAGACUCCUACGGGAGGCAGCAGUGGGGAAUUUUGGACAAUGGGGGAAACCCUGAUCCAGCAAUGCCGCGUGUGCGAAGAAGGCCUUCGGGUUGUAAAGCACUUUUGUCAGGGAAGAAAUCCUUUGGGCUAAUACCCUAGGGGGAUGACGGUACCUGAAGAAUAAGCACCGGCUAACUACGUGCCAGCAGCCGCGGUAAUACGUAGGGUGCAAGCGUUAAUCGGAAUUACUGGGCGUAAAGCGUGCGCAGGCGGUUGUGUAAGACAGGUGUGAAAUCCCCGGGCUUAACCUGGGAAUUGCAUUUGUGACUGCACGACUAGAGUGUGUCAGAGGGGGGUGGAAUUCCACGUGUAGCAGUGAAAUGCGUAGAUAUGUGGAGGAACACCAAUGGCGAAGGCAGCCCCCUGGGAUAACACUGACGCUCAUGCACGAAAG